Molecule: ribosomal RNA, 468 nt
Filed under: uncultured bacterium
Lineage: Bacteria
Description: partial 16S ribosomal RNA
Rfam family: Bacterial small subunit ribosomal RNA
Source: RNAcentral
GACGAACGCUGGCGGCGUGCCUAACACAUGCAAGUCGAACGGACCGGCCCUGCUUUUGUGGGGUGCUCGAGUGGCGACCGGGUGAGUUACACGUGUGUACCCUGUCCCCGACUUUGGGAUAACUUCAGGACAUUGGGGCUAAUACCGGAUAGGAGCUCUUGCUGCAUGGUGGGGGCUGGAAAGUUUCGGUGGUUGGGGAUGGACUCGCGGCCUAUCAGCUCGAUGGUGGGGUAGUGGCUUACCAAGGCUUUGACGGGUAGCCGGUCUGGGAGGGUGGCCGGCCAAAUUGGGACGGAGAUACGACCCAGACUCCUACGGGAGGCAGCGGAGGAGAAUAGUACACAAGGGGCGGAAGCCUGAUGCAGCAACGCCGCGUGCGGGAUGACGGCCAGCGGGUUGUAAACCACUGUCGCCUGAGACGAGGCGUGAGUGACGGUAAUAGGUGAAGAAGCACCGGCUAACUACGUG